AGCAUAUCAAUAAGCGGAGGAAAAGAAACUAACAAGGAUUCCCUUAGUAACGGCGAGCGAACCGGGAAGAGCUCAAAUUUGAAAUCUGGCGUCCUUUGGGCGUCCGAGUUGUAAUCUAUAGAGGCGUUUUCCGUGCCGGACCGUGUCCAAGUCCCUUGGAACAGGGUAUCAAAGAGGGUGACAAUCCCGUACUUGACACGACCACCGGUGCUCUGUGAUACGUCUUCUGCGAGUCGAGUUGUUUGGGAAUGCAGCUCAAAACGGGUGGUAAACUCCAUCUAAAGCUAAAUAUUGGUGGGAGACCGAUAGCGAACAAGUACCGUGAGGGAAAGAUGAAAAGCACUUUGGAAAGAGAGUUAAACAGUAUGUGAAAUUGUUGAAAGGGAAACGAUUGAAGUCAGUCGUGUUCAUUGGACUCAGCCGGCCCUGCCGGUCUACUUCCUUUGAACGGGUCAACAUCGGUUCUGGUCGGCGGAUAAGGGCGGGAGGAAAGUAGCACCCCUCGGGGUGUGUUAUAGCCUCCUGUCGCAUACGCUGGUCGGGACCGAGGAACGCAGCUCGCCUUUAUGGCCGGGGUUCGCCCACGUCCGAGCUUAGGAUGUUGACAUAAUGGCUUUAAACGACCCGUCU
This 630-nucleotide ribosomal RNA is filed under the name uncultured fungus. RNAcentral's name for it is "eukaryotic LSU rRNA". It matches the Rfam family "Eukaryotic large subunit ribosomal RNA", at positions 37 to 654 of the family's 3401-position model. The record is from RNAcentral. Lineage: Eukaryota; Fungi.